UGGACAGUCUCUUGCUUGGCUCACUUCCCAACAACACUCUGUCUGGAGUUCUGAAACAGAAAGUUACUCCUGUGCUGUUAAAGGCCAUGAGGAUCUCCGCUCUCCUGCAGUGUGUGUUCAGGGUCACAACUGCUGGAGGGUGACUUACACCAAGAGGAGAAUCUGUGUCUUGAAGGGCUCCACAGUGGACAUAUCCUGCUCUUACACUCAUCCCACUAGUUAUAUAGAACAAGGUUCAUUCUGGUUUACACAGAAACAUCCUGUAGAUGUCAGUUCAUAUCCAGAGUAUGCAGGUCGUGUGCAGUACAAUAGGAACACAGAGAACCACCACACCAUGACAAUAACACACCUGACAGAGAAGGACUCGGCUGAAUACAAAUUCAGAUUAAUAACAACAGAUGAGGGGAGAUUUUCUGACCUUCCUGGUGUGAUGUUGACUGUCACAGAUAUCCUGUUGGAGAUGGAUCCUACGUCUGUGUCAGAGGGGGAGAGAGUCACACUGAGAUGUAGAACCCAAUGUACAGUCAGUCUCAAACCCACCUACAUCU
Long non-coding RNA from Oncorhynchus nerka (sockeye salmon), 548 nucleotides. RefSeq lists it as uncharacterized. The record is from RefSeq and is a predicted model, not a curated record. The transcript is spliced from 3 exons. Lineage: Eukaryota; Metazoa; Chordata; Actinopteri; Salmoniformes; Salmonidae.